GUGACCUUACCAAAUAAGCCCCAGCCCCGGCGAGGCGUCCCCACUGUCUCCCUUGACCUAGGCUGUUAUGUCCCAUUCUACGGUCUCAGUCCCGGCUCCUUCCAUCUGCGGAUGACCAAACCUUACAGGAACCUACACAUGGAGGCUCUGAUGGGGGGAAGAGCCCAGAGCGUCUGGGACCAACAAGAAGACGGAACCUGCCUGGAGUAGCAGAGGAGGGAAGUGAGGUGGAGAGGAGGGGCAAGAACUAGAGCUCCUGGGUGUCCGAGGACUCGACGGACUCCGAGAGUCUGGCCACCACUCGGGUCAUGCAGAAGCUGGGAGCUGCUUACAGGUGUUCAAAGAGACUCAUGCUCGGGAAAUUAUAGCUGUGCACAAAAGCUGGAGAAACCAUAAAUGUUCAUCAAUAAUGGAAUCUGGCUGGACCGAUGUGCUAGUCCAGCCCUUACUAUUUGUCAGUGUUGCAACUGGAACAGAAUAACCAGCCCACAGAUAUUCUUCCUAAUAUCCCAUAUCCCAUAAGGGACGAAAGACUUCAAUAAAUGGAAUUAUGUCA
Lemur catta (Ring-tailed lemur) is the source of this 556-nucleotide long non-coding RNA. RefSeq lists it as uncharacterized. The record is from RefSeq and is a predicted model, not a curated record. NCBI's taxonomy places the organism in Eukaryota, Metazoa, Chordata, Mammalia, Primates, Lemuridae. The transcript has 2 exons.